Molecule: ribosomal RNA, 344 nt
Filed under: Escherichia coli
Lineage: Bacteria; Pseudomonadati; Pseudomonadota; Gammaproteobacteria; Enterobacterales; Enterobacteriaceae
Description: bacterial SSU rRNA
Rfam family: Bacterial small subunit ribosomal RNA
Source: RNAcentral
CGUCAAGUCAUCAUGGCCCUUACGACCAGGGCUACACACGUGCUACAAUGGCGCAUACAAAGAGAAGCGACCUCGCGAGAGCAAGCGGACCUCAUAAAGUGCGUCGUAGUCCGGAUUGGAGUCUGCAACUCGACUCCAUGAAGUCGGAAUCGCUAGUAAUCGUGGAUCAGAAUGCCACGGUGAAUACGUUCCCGGGCCUUGUACACACCGCCCGUCACACCAUGGGAGUGGGUUGCAAAAGAAGUAGGUAGCUUAACCUUCGGGAGGGCGCUUACCACUUUGUGAUUCAUGACUGGGGUGAAGUCGUAACAAGGUAACCGUAGGGGAACCUGCGGUUGGAUCAC